RNAcentral lists this ribosomal RNA (429 nucleotides) under uncultured bacterium. Its description in RNAcentral is "bacterial SSU rRNA". It matches the Rfam family "Bacterial small subunit ribosomal RNA", at positions 29 to 448 of the family's 1533-position model. The record is from RNAcentral.
AACGAACGCUGGCGGCGCGCCUAACACAUGCAAGUCGAACGAGAAUCCGGGGCAACCCGGUAGUAAAGUGGCAAACGGGUGAGGAAUGCAUGGGUAACCUGCCCUUGAGAAGGGAAUAACCCGCCGAAAGGUGAGCUAAUACCCUAUACGCUCCUCUUUCCUCGGAAAGGGAAGGAAAGCUAAGUCGAGGAUUUAGCACUCAAGGAGGGGCUCAUGUCCUAUCAGCUUGUUGGUGGGGUAAUGGCCUACCAAGGCAACGACGGGUAGCUGGUCUGAGAGGAUGAUCAGCCACACUGGCACUGAGAUACGGGCCAGACUCCUACGGGAGGCAGCAGUGAGGAAUAUUGCGCAAUGGGCGAAAGCCUGACGCAGCGACGCCGCGUGGGGGAUGAAGGUUUUCGGAUUGUAAACCCCUUUCAUGAGGAAAGA